RNAcentral lists this ribosomal RNA (485 nucleotides) under uncultured bacterium. RNAcentral's name for it is "partial 16S ribosomal RNA". It matches the Rfam family "Bacterial small subunit ribosomal RNA", at positions 29 to 506 of the family's 1533-position model. The record is from RNAcentral.
AUUGAACGCUGGCGGCAUGCCUUACACAUGCAAGUCGAACGGCAGCACGGGUGCUUGCACCUGGUGGCGAGUGGCGAACGGGUGAGUAAUACAUCGGAACAUGUCCUGUAGUGGGGGAUAGCCCGGCGAAAGCCGGAUUAAUACCGCAUACGAUCUACGGAUGAAAGCGGGGGACCUUCGGGCCUCGCGCUAUAGGGUUGGCCGAUGGCUGAUUAGCUAGUUGGUGGGGUAAAGGCCUACCAAGGCGACGAUCAGUAGCGGGUCUGAGAGGACGACCAGCCACCUUGGGCCUGGGAACCGGCCCAUUCUCCUACGGGCGGCAGACGGGGGGUAUUUGUGACAGUGGGGGAAAUCUUGUUCCAUAAAAGCCCGGGGGGUGAAGAAGGCCUCCGGGUUGUAAAGGAAUUUUGCCGGGAAAAAAACCCUUGGCCCCAAUUCGGCCGGGGGUGGACGGUACGGAAAAAAUACCCACCGGCAAACUACGU